GACGAACGCUGGCGGCGUGCUUAACACAUGCAAGUCGAACGGUGAAGCGCUUUCCUUUUUGGUUGGUGUGGAUGAGUGGCGAACGGGUGAGUAACACGUGAGUAACCUGCCCCCUUCUUCUGGAUAACCGCAUGAAAGUGUGGCUAAUACGGGAUAUUCUGCGCCUGCUGCAUGGUGGGUGUGGGAAAGAUUGUGCCUUUGGGUGUUUUCGGUGGGGGAUGGGCUCGCGGCCUAUCAGCUUGUUGGUGGGGUGAUGGCCUACCAAGGCGGUGACGGGUAGCCGGCCUGAGAGGGUGGACGGUCACACUGGGACUGAGACACGGCCCAGACUCCUACGGGAGGCAGCAGUGGGGAAUAGUGCACAAUGGGCGCAAGCCUGAUGCAGCGACGCCGCGUGAGGGAUGGAGGCCUUCGGGUUGUGAACCUCUUUCGCCAGUGAAGCAGGCCUGCUCCUUGUGGGUGGGUUGACGGUAGCUGGAUAAGAAGCGCCGGCUAACUACGUG
RNAcentral lists this ribosomal RNA (503 nucleotides) under uncultured bacterium. RNAcentral describes it as "partial 16S ribosomal RNA". It matches the Rfam family "Bacterial small subunit ribosomal RNA", at positions 28 to 507 of the family's 1533-position model. The record is from RNAcentral.